Long non-coding RNA from Notolabrus celidotus (New Zealand spotty), 306 nucleotides. RefSeq lists it as uncharacterized. The transcript is spliced from 3 exons. The record is from RefSeq and is a predicted model, not a curated record. NCBI's taxonomy places the organism in Eukaryota, Metazoa, Chordata, Actinopteri, Labriformes, Labridae.
CAUUUGGGAAAAAUGAGCUGUUGGAAAUCAAACACCCAGACGUGAAGUACCUGAAUGUAAUUCUUCUCACCAGACCCAUGCUUGUCUCAAACUGCACCUCUCAGAAUUUACGGGCUAUACGUGAGAAGCUUGACCCAAAAGUCGAUUAUACAUGCACGGAGGUAGCUGAAUCUCAUAUCCAAGAGUGUGCCUCUGAUACAAAUACAGGCUGUGGGGCCUGUUUACUUGGUGGUGGCUAAUGAAUAUGUAGAGUCCAAAUGACAAGAAAUUACCUGAAGUAAUGAAAUGUGAUUUGUAUUUUUUAUU